UCCCAUGUGGCUCAGUGGUAAAGAAUCUGCCUACAAUGCAGGAGACCCAGGUUUGAUCCCUGGGUUGGAAA
Molecule: transfer RNA, 71 nt
Filed under: Bos taurus (domestic cattle)
Lineage: Eukaryota; Metazoa; Chordata; Mammalia; Artiodactyla; Bovidae
Also listed under: 4 other names
Rfam family: tRNA
About the family: Transfer RNA (tRNA) molecules are approximately 80 nucleotides in length. Their secondary structure includes four short double-helical elements and three loops (D, anti-codon, and T loops).
Source: Rfam by way of RNAcentral